GAUGAACGCUGGCGGCGUGCCUAAUACAUGCAAGUCGAGCGAACAGACGAGGAGCUUGCUCCUCUGAUGUUAGCGGCGGACGGGUGAGUAACACGUGGAUAACCUACCUAUAAGACUGGGAUAACUUCGGGAAACCGGAGCUAAUACCGGAUAACAUGUUGAACCGCAUGGUUCAACAGUGAAAGACGGUCUUGCUGUCACUUAUAGAUGGAUCCGCGCCGCAUUAGCUAGUUGGUAAGGUAACGGCUUACCAAGGCAACGAUGCGUAGCCGACCUGAGAGGGUGAUCGGCCACACUGGAACUGAGACACGGUCCAGACUCCUACGGGAGGCAGCAGUAGGGAAUCUUCCGCAAUGGGCGAAAGCCUGACGGAGCAACGCCGCGUGAGUGAAGAAGGUCUGCGGAUCGUAAAACUCUGUUAUUAGGGAAGAACAAAUGUGUAAGUAACUAUGCCCGUCUUGACGGUACCUAAUCAGAAAGCCACGGCUAACUACGU
RNAcentral lists this ribosomal RNA (496 nucleotides) under uncultured bacterium. RNAcentral describes it as "partial 16S ribosomal RNA". It matches the Rfam family "Bacterial small subunit ribosomal RNA", at positions 28 to 506 of the family's 1533-position model. The record is from RNAcentral.